Molecule: ribosomal RNA, 442 nt
Filed under: uncultured bacterium
Lineage: Bacteria
Description: partial 16S ribosomal RNA
Rfam family: Bacterial small subunit ribosomal RNA
Source: RNAcentral
CCUACGGGUGGCAGCAGUGAGGAAUAUUGGUCAAUGGGCGCGAGCCUGAACCAGCCAAGUAGCGUGAAGGAAGAAGGCUUUCGGGUUGUAAACUUCUUUUAAGGGGGAAGAGCAGAAGACGGUACCCCUUGAAUAAGCCACGGCUAACUACGUGCCAGCAGCCGCGGUAAUACGUAGGUGGCAAGCGUUGUCCGGAUUUACUGGGUGUAAAGGGCGUGCAGCCGGGAAGACAAGUCAGAUGUGAAAUCCACGGGCUCAACCCGUGAACUGCAUUUGAAACUGUUUCCCUUGAGUGUCGGAGAGGUAAUCGGAAUUCCUUGUGUAGCGGUGAAAUGCGUAGAUAUAAGGAAGAACACCAGUGGCGAAGGCGGAUUACUGGACGAUAACUGACGGUGAGGCGCGAAAGCGUGGGGAGCAAACAGGAUUAGAUACCCCUGUAGUC